GACGAACGCUGGCGGCGUGCUUAACACAUGCAAGUCGAACGCUGAAGCCUGGUGCUUGCACCGGGUGGAUGAGUGGCGAACGGGUGAGUAAUACGUGAGUGACCUGCCUUUGACUCUGGGAUAAGCCUGGGAAACUGGGUCUAAUACCGGAUGCGACUACUGCCCGCAUGGGCUGGUGGUGGAAAGGGUUAUGUACUGGUCUUAGAUGGGCUCACGGCCUAUCAGCUGGUUGGUGGGGUAAUGGCCUACCAAGGCGACGACGGGUAGCCGGCCUGAGAGGGUGACCGGCCACACUGGGACUGAGACACGGCCCAGACUCCUACGGGAGGCAGCAGUGGGGAAUAUUGCACAAUGGGCGCAAGCCUGAUGCAGCGACGCCGCGUGAGGGAUGACGGCCUUCGGGUUGUAAACCUCUUUCAGCAGGGAAGAAGCGGAAGUGACGGUACCUGCAGAAGAAGCGCCGGCUAACUACGUGCCAGCAGCCGCGGUAAUACGUAGGGCGCAAGCGUUGUCCGGAAUUAUUGGGCGUAAAGAGCUCGUAGGCGGCUUGUCGCGUCUGCUGUGAAAGCCCGGGGCUUAACUCCGGGUGUGCAGUGGGUACGGGCAGGCUAGAGUGCAGUAGGGGUAACUGGGAAUUCCUGGUGUAACGGUGAAAUGCGCAGAUAUCAGGAGGAACACCGAUGGCGAAGGCAGGUUACUGGGCUGUUACUGACGCUGAGGAGCGAAAGCAUGGGGAGCGAACAGGAUUAGAUACCCUGGUAGUCCAUGCCGUAAACGUGGGGCACUAGGUGUGGGGGACAUUCCACGUUUUCCGCGCCGUAGCUAACGCAUUAAGUGCCCCGCCUGGGGAGUACGGCCGCAAGGCUAAAACUCAAAGGAAUUGACGGGGGCCCGCACAAGCGGCGGAGCAUGCGGAUUAAUUCGAUGCAACGCGGAGAACCUUACCAAGGCUUGACAUACACCGGAUCGUUCCAGAGAUGGUUCUUCCCUUUUGGGCUGGUGUACAGGUGGUGCAUGGUUGUCGUCAGCUCGUGUCGUGAGAUGUUGGGUUAAGUCCCGCAACGAGCGCAACCCUCGUUCUAUGUUGCCAGCACGUGAUGGUGGGGACUCAUAGGAGACUGCCGGGGUCAACUCGGAGGAAGGUGGGGAUGACGUCAAAUCAUCAUGCCCCUUAUGUCUUGGGCUUCACGCAUGCUACAAUGGCCGGUACAAUGGGUUGCGAUACUGUGAGGUGGAGCUAAUCCCAAAAAGCCGAUCUCAGUUCGGAUUGGGGUCUGCAACUCGACCCCAUGAAGUCGGAGUCGCUAGUAAUCGCAGAUCAGCAACGCUGCGGUGAAUACGUUCCCGGGCCU
This 1352-nucleotide ribosomal RNA is filed under the name uncultured bacterium. RNAcentral's name for it is "bacterial SSU rRNA". It matches the Rfam family "Bacterial small subunit ribosomal RNA", at positions 28 to 1381 of the family's 1533-position model. The record is from RNAcentral.